Molecule: transfer RNA, 75 nt
Filed under: Caryophanon tenue
Lineage: Bacteria; Bacillati; Bacillota; Bacilli; Caryophanales; Caryophanaceae
Description: tRNA-Gln
Rfam family: tRNA
About the family: Transfer RNA (tRNA) molecules are approximately 80 nucleotides in length. Their secondary structure includes four short double-helical elements and three loops (D, anti-codon, and T loops). Further hydrogen bonds mediate the characteristic L-shaped molecular structure. tRNAs have two regions of fundamental functional importance: the anti-codon, which is responsible for specific mRNA codon recognition, and the 3' end, to which the tRNAs corresponding amino acid is attached (by aminoacyl-tRNA synthetases). tRNAs cope with the degeneracy of the genetic code in two manners: having more than one tRNA (with a specific anti-codon) for a particular amino acid; and 'wobble' base-pairing, i.e. permitting non-standard base-pairing at the 3rd anti-codon position.
Source: RNAcentral
UGGGGUAUAGCCAAGCGGUAAGGCAGCGGAUUUUGAUUCCGUCACGCCCAGGUUCGAAUCCUGGUACCCCAGCCA